GAGUCCACUGAGCAGGUCCGGAGUGAAGUCAGGUCGAGGCUGCAUAAGUACCAGAGCAUGAGAAUGUGCAGGCAGAAAUGCCAAUUUUAAGACUGCUAUGCUUAUAACUGGACUGUUCUAUAAAAGGAUGAAUAAUGGAACUUACUUAGCCAUGGAGGAGUUGAUGGUUAAUAUCAAGUCAACAAAAAUUUGAAGUACUCUUGACCCUUUUUCCAAUGUGUAAAUUAGUAAUAUAAUGGCAAUAUUCAGACAAGCAAAUGUAGACUAAAUUCC
Long non-coding RNA from Marmota monax (woodchuck), 273 nucleotides. RefSeq lists it as uncharacterized. Lineage: Eukaryota; Metazoa; Chordata; Mammalia; Rodentia; Sciuridae. The record is from RefSeq and is a predicted model, not a curated record. The transcript is spliced from 3 exons.